UAUGACGUUUUUAUGAGAAAAAUAUUCAUAAAAAAUUAUGAAGAUAAAUAAUGUAAAUUUGAAGAAAACAAAAAGACAAAAAUAAUAAUAGUUUUCCACUAGAUUAUCACAAGUUAUAAAGAUGGAUAAUAAUACUAAUUAUUAAAAUUCACUAAGAUAAGGAUGAAAAUUUAUUAAUUAGAUAGGGAUAUUUUGAAUAAUAUCUUUUAAUGAUAUCAAUCAAACUUUUUAAAAUAAGCAAAAAGCUAAAUUAAUGACUUAGGGUGCGUUUGAGAUUGAGGAUGAGUAGUUAUAGCUUAAAAGUUACAGCACUGAAAUGUUUGGUAAAUACUAGCUGUUGUAAAAAGUCUAUUAGAAGCUAUGUUGAUAUGAUUUUUUACUUGUGUAAUAGAAAGUCUAUUAUAUCUUUAAUAAUUUUCUCAAAAUUAUUAUUUAAAAUUUAUAUUUACUACAUGUUAUUAAUUUUUUUCAUAGUUACAGCUUUUUUUCUACAGCAGCAGUAGUUUAAAAGGUAUAGCACCUCAAUUCCAAAUAGAACCUUAAUCAAUAAAAUUUUCAUUAAGAUGCAAAAAUAAGCAAUCUUAAUGACUUUACUGAUUAAAAUUGAGUUAUUAAGUCACUAAGUUAACAAAACAAACAACCCUUUUGUUAACAAAGCAAUAAAAGAAUUUUUAUUUUUUAAUUUCAUUCUCAUUUUCAUGUUUCUCAUACUUUUUUCAAGUGUAUGAAUGAUAUAGAAAAGCCUCUAAAUUAAUUAAUUAUAAGCAAUAUCCCAUUGGCGACACCGAUUCCCUUAAGAUUAAGAGUAUAGGUCCCAAUUUCAACAAUUGUUGGACUUAUUUCCCUUCCCAAUUUAAUUGGGUAUGAGUAGAUAUUUUCCCUACUAAUAUAAGCAGAGCAUGAUAACUCUAUAAUAUUACGUGAGGAUAGAAAUUUAAGUUAUGUUAUAAUAGACUUGAUUUACGCUUGAAUUAGAGAAGUCCUAGUCGAUUCCUAAUUGAUAUAUUGUAUAUAUCAGUAAAUUUCUAAUUGUAAUAUACAUAUCAAUGUGUGUGUCUGUGUGUGUGGGCAAUGAUUAUGUUGGAUCAGCUCCAUGGUGGAGCACUGAUAAUAACCGUUAGACCAUAACAAUAAGUAUAUAUUUAAUAUUUACCUCUAUGACCGUACAGUCAUCAUCAGUGCUCCACUAUGGGGCUGAUCCAACUUAGUUAAACAUAUAUUGGUGCGAAUAGGUUGUUGAUAAAUAAUCUCCAAGAUACAAUGACUUAACUUCUAAGAAUGCAUACUCAAUACAACAAUUUAGAAUAAUAGGGAAUAAAGGGCCAGGUUGGAAUUGCGGUGGCUGAUUAAAUAAGAUACUUUUGUAGUGCGGAUGAAAUAAGCUACUAAUUAAAAAAAAAUUGGUGUUUGGUAAAUUGUGUUGUUAUGAUUGCUGUGUGAGUUUAAAAAGUAGCGUGCACAGUUUGACAAAUUUUAUUACAAAAGUAUUGUUUUAUUAUGUAAUGACUAAAAUAGACAUAAUUUUAAAUUACCUUUUAUUUUUUAGAGUAUGUUUAAUAAUGUUUAGAGAUGCAUUUUUCUUUCUAAAAUACAUAAAAUUACAUAAAGGGAAAAAACUUAAUUAUAUAAAAUCAAUGAACUUCAUAAUCUGAUACAUAAAAUAUGAUAAAAAUUCAUAUCAAUACAUAAUCUAAAUAGAAAUAAAAAAGUAAUAUGCAUUACAUUCAUAUUAAACUUGUUGCAAUAAACACCUUAUAUAUGGAAAAAAAUAUAUGAUUGAAUGUUAAAAAGCAAUAGUUAUGAAAUUGAUUUUAAAAGUCAUGGUUAAAUUUCAUGUGAAAUUGUUCGCAGUUUAAAGAAAAUUUAUGUAAUCAUAUGUAAGUCUUAUUAAAUCUUAUAAUAGAACAUAAAAGUAAAAUAUGAAAAAUAUAAAUUUACUGGUCAAAAUUUUAUAAUUGUAAGGGUAAUUUGAUUAUUAUGGUAAUAUGAUAUCUAAUGCCUUAUAUAUUAGGUGUAUGGAAAAAUAAGAUAUAAUUAUCUUUUUGUUAAAGUAUUAAGGUUAUAAUAGAAAUUUUAAAAAGUAGUAAUGACUUAUUAAAUAAGCUGCUUAUGAAAAAAAAAAACUCUCUACCUACUUUUAAAAGCUGCUGUCAAAAUGGUAAAAAUUAUAAAAUAAGCAGAUUUUACAAAGUUUACCAAACACUAUUUUUAUAAACAAUUAUGAAAUAGGCAGUUUAUUGAAAUUUAACCUCAAUCUCAAAAGGGCCAAAAUAACAGUGUUUAUUGUAGUAGUAAUUAAUACAUGGAAGAAGUAUAGUUGAACACGAAGCAGAGACCGAACUGAACGAAAUGACAAAAUUCUAAUUCCCCCUAUUUAUAAACGAAUGGUGGCUAUUUCAAACACUUUCAAAUAGUCACUUGCGUUAAAUUUCUUAAUCACCUUAACUUCCUUUAACCAAUUCCAAGGGCCCGUUUGGGAUUGCGGUUGAAAUUCAAUAAGCUGCUCAUUUUAUAAUUUUCGAUAAAAAUAGUGUUUGGUAAAUUUUGUAAAAGCAACUUAUUUCAUAAUUUUCUCCAUUUU
RNAcentral lists this long non-coding RNA (2581 nucleotides) under Citrus x clementina. RNAcentral's name for it is "Citrus clementina (C. clementina) long non-coding RNA (CCLE_LNC006655)". The record is from RNAcentral. Lineage: Eukaryota; Viridiplantae; Streptophyta; Magnoliopsida; Sapindales; Rutaceae.